ACACUGACGUCGCGACGCAUAUCAAUAAGCGGAGGAAAAGAAACUAACAAGGAUUCCCUUAGUAACGGCGAGUGAAGCGGGAAGAGCUCAAAUUUGAAAUCUUCAAGGUUUUACCUUGACGAAUUGUAGUUUAAAGAAGUGUUUUCUGUUGAGGUUUUGGUAAAAGUUCUUUGGAAUAGGACAUCAUAGAGGGUGAGAAUCCCGUAUUUGACCUUUACUUUCAACUUUGUGAUACACUUUCAAAGAGUCGGAUUGUUUGGGAAUGCAGUCCAAAAUGGGUGGUAAAUUUCAUCUAAAGCUAAAUAUUGGCGAGAGACCGAUAGCGAACAAGUACCGUGAGGGAAAGAUGAAAAGAACUUUGAAAAGAGAGUUAAACAGUACGUGAAAUUGUCAAAAGGGAAGCGUUUGACACCAGUGUUGUUUUUCUGAAAAUCAAUUAAAGAACUGUUUAUGCUAAGUUGUUUAGACUUUAUCAGCUAACUGUUUAGUUUUGAGCUUUUCUUCAAUGCACUUUUCAGUUAACAAGUCAACAUCAAUUUCUUUUGCUGUAAAAAAGCUUGAGGAAGGUGGCUUGAGAUUCGUCUUAAGUGUUUAUAGCCUCUUGCCUAUGCAGUCGGAGAGAUUGAGGUCUGCAGCGUAGAUCCUUCGGGGCUAAAUGCAUUUGUGCUAAGUUAUAGCAUUUUAUAGACAACUUGUUGACUAUGAUUUGUCUUGUAGCUUACUCGCUUAUGUUAUUUUACCUACGCUUAGGAUGUUGAACUCUAUCACACACAG
This 774-nucleotide ribosomal RNA is filed under the name uncultured Neocallimastigales. Its description in RNAcentral is "partial large subunit ribosomal RNA". It matches the Rfam family "Eukaryotic large subunit ribosomal RNA", at positions 25 to 627 of the family's 3401-position model. Lineage: Eukaryota; Fungi; Neocallimastigomycota; Neocallimastigomycetes; Neocallimastigales. The record is from RNAcentral.